Mandrillus leucophaeus (drill) is the source of this 5060-nucleotide RNA transcript. It is a transcript of the gene named zinc finger, DHHC-type containing 20, with no coding region annotated. Lineage: Eukaryota; Metazoa; Chordata; Mammalia; Primates; Cercopithecidae. The record is from RefSeq and is a predicted model, not a curated record. The transcript has 12 exons.
UUUUUGGAAAUGAAGAAAAUGGAAAGACCGUUGUUUACCUUGUGGCUUUCCAUCUGUUCUUUGUUAUGUUUGUAUGGUCCUAUUGGAUGACAAUUUUCACAUCUCCCGCUUCCCCCUCCAAAGAGUUCUACUUGUCCAAUUCUGAAAAGGAACGUUAUGAAAAAGAAUUCAGCCAAGAAAGACAACAAGAAAUUUUGAGAAGAGCGGCAAGAGUUUUACCUAUCUAUACCACAUCAGCUUCAAAAACUAUCAGAUAUUGUGAAAAAUGUCAGCUGAUUAAACCUGAUCGGGCACAUCACUGCUCAGCAUGUGACUCAUGUAUUCUUAAGAUGGAUCAUCACUGUCCUUGGGUGAAUAACUGUGUGGGAUUUUCUAAUUACAAAUUCUUCCUGCUGUUUUUAUUGUAUUCCCUAUUAUAUUGCCUUUUCGUGGCUGCAACAGUUUUAGAGUACUUCAUAAAAUUUUGGACGAAUGAACUGACAGAUACACGUGCAAAAUUCCACGUACUUUUUCUUUUCUUUGUGUCUGCAAUGUUCUUCAUCAGCGUCCUCUCACUUUUCAGCUACCACUGCUGGCUAGUUGGAAAAAAUAGGACAACAAUAGAAUCAUUCCGCGCACCCACGUUUUCAUACGGACCUGAUGGAAAUGGUUUCUCUCUUGGAUACAGUAAAAAUUGGAGGCAAGUCUUUGGUGAUGAAAAGAAGUAUUGGCUACUUCCAAUAUUUUCAAGCUUGGGUGAUGGUUGCAGUUUUCCAACUCGCCUUGUGGGGAUGGAUCCAGAACAAGCUUCUGUUACAAACCAGAAUGAGUACGCCAGAAGAUCUAAACUGCAGAGGUAGAAAGCAGAAAACUUGGGAAAUGACAGUAGUGGCUCAAAUCAGCCUUUUCCUAUCAAACCACUUAGUGAAUCAAAAAACCGUUUGUUGGACAGUGAAUCUCAGUGGCUGGAGAAUGGAGCUGAAGAAGGCAUCGUCAAAUCAGGUGUAUGAAAACAUUAUAGACUGAUAUUUUCAAUUUUCAUUUGGAAGAAAAUGAUCAAUGGAAUGAAAUAACUGAAGUAUAACAGAAGAUAUAUUUUUUAAAAAGGAAAGCCUUUGUACAGUUCUGGGAUCCACAGAAGCGCUGCUCCAGAGCGGAACGAUGCCUUAAUCUUAAGUGUCCAUUUGUGCAGCAUUGACUUAGAGCUACAGAAAUGACUUAAUGUUAUUCUGGAAAUAAUACUUACCUGUUAUGAGAUGCUAUAAUACGAGCUGUCAUCACAUUUUAACAUGCAUAUGUAUUUUUUGAUACCUGAAUUACAUUAUUAGAAUCAGUAUCCAUAUACAUUUUCACUCUAAAAACACAAGCUUAAAAACUUGAAAGUAAAGUACAUCUAGGACAAAUGGUGGCUGAAAGUGAAUAAUAUUCAAAUUACUGUUGCUUGUACUGUAUAAGGAAAAUGCUUUUUUAAAUUGGGUAUUUGCUAAUUUAUAAUUACUAUUUUAUACUUUUCAAUAUUUUUAAUAACUUUUAUUGUUGGCCAUAACAGAAGGAUUCAGAUAUCUAAGUAUCAUUUAGAACAUAGAACACAUUGGUCUAAUUCAUCGAAAGCUUAGUUAUAAGCAUUAAUACAACCAUGUAGUGGAACAAGUGCCCAAGGCUUAAAGGGAACUCGGCAGGAUAAGAACUAUUUUGGGUUCUCUCUGCUAUUUUAUAACUUUUGUUGUUGAACUUUCAGGGGUGUGUACAUGGGCAGAGAAACACAAAGGUACAUGUGCUGGAGAAAUACUGGACACAGUAGGAAGAAGUGUAAGUGUCCAGAAGAAAAGCUAAGAGGAAUAUUGUAAUCUGUUAAAAAAAGAAUAGUUUGAGUUUUAACAGUAGUUAGACUAAAGCAUGCUGUUGACUUGACUUUCAAAUUUCAGGGUAGGUAAUGACUAAAAAUUACUUUGAAACUUUUUUACAGUAAUACUGUAACAACUUAAACAGUGACUUAAAAUGCAAUUCAAACUAGGCAAAAAAACUUUAAGUUUUCCUCCUGGCUCUCAGUUGGAAAGUCUAACCUGAGUGGUCAUUUUACAUUCUCAGUCUCUGAGAAGUGGAUUCUACUCUUAGAUGCACAGUCUCAAGUCUGACUUUCUAACAGCAACCCCUUUAUGCCUAGAAACAUUUCUUUUUCCUUUUAAAUCUAAUCUAAGCGACAGGAGUUGUUGCAUUAACUCCAAAGAAAAGUACAGAAUAAACAAUGUCGAAAUGUUACUCCUCCUUUACACCUUUUAGUCAGACACACACACACACCCCCACACACCCACCCCAAAAUAAUCGAUUGCUUCCCGUUGGUGGGUGAGUACUACAGGUUGGAGUUUCCUGUCUGUAAAAUGGGACUGCAGGGGAGGGGUGUUGUGAAUGAGUUGGACUGGAUGACUUCUAACAUUCUGUGAUGCCUAAUUUUGCAAAAUCACUUUUCAUUCACCCAGUAAAUUUUUUUCUUCUUUUUUCCAGGUAGUCUUGCUCUGUCUCUCAGACAGGAGUGCAGUGGUGGGAUCUUGGCUCGCUGCAACCUCCACCUCCCGGGUUCAAGAGUCUCCUGCCUCAGCCUCUCAAGUAGCUGGGAUUACAGGCUCAUGCCACCAGGCCUGGCUAAUUUUUACAUUUUUAGAAGAGACAAGGUUUUACCAUGUUGACCAGGCUGGUCACGAACUCCUGACCUCAAAUAAUCCACCCACCUCUGCUUCCCAAAGUGCUGGGAUUACAGGCAUGAGCCACCACGCCCAGCCCUAGUAAAUUUUUUGGAGUACCUUCUAUAUGCUAAACAAUACACUAGGAAUAGCUCUGUCAUUUCCUAGUACAGCAUAAAUUUUAUGGUUGCUACUGUAGGUUUAUAAUUUGUUGUUUAUAAUUUGGUCUAAUUUCCAUCAGCCAUACUAAUAUUAGAUUUUAAAAGGAGGCAACUAUUUUUCUCUUUGAACCAAAGGAAUGAGUUAGCUUUGAAAACAUAGUUUGGAAUACUAUAGUAUGGAUUCUUCUACCUUUGUUUCAACUCCUUAGUCUUAAUAAUCUCGAUUCUAGCAAACUAGAAUGAGAGUUAAGAGAUAAUCAAUUAUUGCUGGGCAUGGUGGCUCAUGCCUGUAAUCCCAGCACUUUGGGAGGCCGAGGCUGGUGGAUCACCUGAGGUCAGGGGUUUGAGAUUAGCCUGGUCAAAAUGGCAAAACCUUCUCUCUACUAAAAAUAAAAAAAAAAAACCCAAAAACUGUCCAGGCAUGGUGGCACACUCCUGUAUUCCCAGCUACUCGGGAGGUGGAGGCAAGAGAAUCACUUAAACCCAGGAGGCGGAGGUUGCAGUGAGCCAAGAGUCUGGUGCACUCCAGUCUGGGUGACAAGAGUGAAACUCCAUCUCAAAAAAAUAUAUAUAUCAACUACCAACUAAAAACAUCACUUCAGUUUGGCAGUUUGCAUAUUAUAAGGAGAUAAAUGUUUAAACAUACGUGACUACUUUCAGAAAUGUUCUCCUGGUACUUUCUGUGAGUAUUUCUACAUUCAGAUCGAAAGAUUUGCAUGUACCUGGCUAACGCCAAGGAAACUUUAUUUUCUUCUUCACUAUUAUGCACUUUCAUGGUAGUAUAGUCUUUCUCAGUUCUUUUAAUUUUUGUUAUUUAACAUCUUUAAUAUAAUAGCACAGCAAACAUCUUUUCAGAAAUUUCCAGUUAAAGCCUUUGAAUUAUUUAUCUUUGGUUUAAUUUACAGCCAGCAUUUUGCCACAUUCUAAAUAAUAUUUAGCUGAACUGAUUCAUACGUAUUAAUGACCAUUCUAGCAAAGGCCUACAAGUGGUGUGGGAAUCAGGGAAAGGCUGCCUCUUUGGUAUUUCAACUGGUAUUGAUUAUUGCUAUCAACUAAUUGGGGAGAAAAAAUCAAAAUGAAGCCCUGUCAAAUUUUAUAAGUACUAUCUUUGGUCCUUCAAACACUUGAACAUUUGUGAUGACACCUUAAGAAAAAUGAAGUUCAGGUCUUACCAUUGCCAUUAAAAACAAAUUAGGAGACGUGGUUUACCUGGGAACAAAUUUACUUGAAUAUUCAGUACCUGAAACCAUGCCAAACCAAAGAGCAGCUGCAGUACAUUAGUUAUUUUAAAUGAACAAGUUUACAAAGUUUAUUUUCAUCUAUACAUAAGGAUGAUUUUUUAAAAACUUUUUACAUAUUAGUGGUUAUGAUCCAAUGUGUCAUGAGUGAAUUUAACUGUAAGGUGGUUUAAAUCAAAUAUGCAAUGUUUACUUGAAUUGUAUUUCUAUUAGCAGAUUUUGACUAUGUUUACAGGACUGUUUAAAUUAAGGAUUAUCAGGCAUGUGAGAUCUCCUUUCAGUAUCUUUAAAACAGAUGUAUAUUAAGGGCUUAGAGUUAGGAUCUACAUAUUCUGGGCAGUGAAUAGGCAGUAACUUACAAAUAAGUUUUGCUUACCUUUUGUUCUAGGGACUAGCACUGCUAUCAAUGGAAAGUAUUUUUAACUAAUCUGUUAUUAAGAAAGUCAUAUUUUUGCAUUUCAGCCAAAAUAAAGACCAUCUCUGAUAAUCUGUUAGAUAAUACAUGUCUGAAAUCCAUAUGUUUCAUAUGAUCUAAACUGUAUUUUCCAAUUUAAAUUAAAAUGUAAUAUAGAUUCAGAAAGGUUCAUAUUUUUCUAAUGACUUCAUUCUAUAUUAUUUUGUUAGGUUGCAUAAAGAAGCAAGGAAUUGCACUUGUAUUAAAAGAUGAAGAAAGCUAUUAGGUAUAUUUGUACAUGACUGCAAAUGAGUCUAUGCCUGUUUAAAAGAAAAGAUGGACACUAUUUUAAAGUGAGCUUUAAUAUGCUUUUAUAUAAACAAAUUUGAAGUACAGUUUAGUUUGGUUGUGUUUACCUAACAAGUACUAUAAGCCGUGUAUUUGUUCUUAUUUGUAUAAUCCUAGCCUGUGACUUAAUGUUGACGCUUUGCUUUGUCUUUUGGCUGGCCUAACCUACAUUGACAUGUACGCAGAACAUUUUACAACUUUUUUUUUCCAAAAGUCAUAAUGAAUUACUUUAUUAAUAAACAAAUAAAGUCUUGUAUUUGAA